UGGGGAAUUUUGGACAAUGGGCGAAAGCCUGAUCCAGCAAUGCCGCGUGUGUGAAGAAGGCCUUCGGGUUGUAAAGCACUUUUGUCCGGAAAGAAAUCCUUGGCUCUAAUACAGUCGGGGGAUGACGGUACCGGAAGAAUAAGCACCGGCUAACUACGUGCCAGCAGCCGCGGUAAUACGUAGGGUGCAAGCGUUAAUCGGAAUUACUGGGCGUAAAGCGUGCGCAGGCGGUUUGCUAAGACCGAUGUGAAAUCCCCGGGCUCAACCUGGGAACUGCAUUGGUGACUGGCAGGCUAGAGUAUGGCAGAGGGGGGUAGAAUUCCACGUGUAGCAGUGAAAUGCGUAGAGAUGUGGAGGAAUACCGAUGGCGAAGGCAGCCCCCUGGGCCAAUACUGACGCUCAUGCACGAAAGCGUGGGGGAGCAAAACAGGAUUAGAUACCCUGGUAGUCCACGCCCUAAAACGAUGUCAACUAGUUGUUGGGGAUUCAUUUCCUUAGUAACGUAGCUAACGCGUGAAGUUGACCGCCUGGGGAGUACGGUCGCAAGAUUAAAAC
Molecule: ribosomal RNA, 555 nt
Filed under: uncultured bacterium
Lineage: Bacteria
Description: partial 16S ribosomal RNA
Rfam family: Bacterial small subunit ribosomal RNA
Source: RNAcentral